This is a long non-coding RNA of Pistacia vera, 1612 nucleotides long. RefSeq lists it as uncharacterized. Lineage: Eukaryota; Viridiplantae; Streptophyta; Magnoliopsida; Sapindales; Anacardiaceae. The record is from RefSeq and is a predicted model, not a curated record. The transcript is spliced from 2 exons.
AGUCCUUUGCUCAAAAAAUUAUAUAGAAAGAAGAAACAUUACUUUGCAUCAAAAGCUUAGUCUUUCCAUGGCUCAUAACUUCAAGUCCUCCACCUCCACCACCGCCAAGUACUCCACCACCACCACCACCAGCAGAUCCACCACUAAGCUCACCACCACCCCCAACAAAAUAGACCAUGGCCAAAAGCAUAAGAAAAUUGUAACUUCUUCAUCAGCACCAAAAGCUCAAACCAGUCAAGGCACACACCACCACAACCAGGUCCACCAUCACCACCACCACCACCACCAUCACCAUCAUCAACAAACAUCAAAGCCAAAAGCACCAGGAAAAGCCCUCACUCAACCAAAGCCUAAACUAGCCAUGGCACAUGCCACGGCCACCAUCAAAUCCACCACCGCCAAGGCCACGAUCAAGUUGGGACAAGGAGUAGAUGUCAAAGUGGUAACCAAAGAAGCAGUAUUCAAAGGUGGAAAGAUAGCUUAUAUCAAUUAAUGGCAUGCAAGUUCUCAAUUUAUAAAGGAGUUGGAUGCUGCAGAUGUGAAGGAAUCUUUUGCAGAAUCUAUACUGGGAUUACAGAACUUGUAAUAUGUUAUGAGAUUAUGUUGAAUUUUUUUUUUUUUUUUGUUGUUGUUGUUGUUGUUGUACUUGGUGAACAAAAUUAGAGAAUUAUCUCAUUAUAUUAGCAGACGUUUGACGGAUCUUGUAGAUUUGAUUUAGCAAGGCAGUUUUUCCGACUCCCCCUUUCCCAUACAGGCCAAUAAUCUUCACUUGAUCUUCUUCAUAACAUCUCCAAACUUCAUGAAAUUUUGACUCUAAACCCACCGUUAGUUCAGAAGGUAUUUGAUCAUACAUUGGAUCAUCCUUUCUCUGAUCAGCCACCUCCUUAAAUUCUCUACCUUUUUCCUUCAACUCACUCACAACUUCCAGCUUUUGAGCAACUCUCUUCCCGAACCUGAAGCUUGCAAACUUGUAGUUUUUGUAACAAAAGCCUCCAAGACAUAACCUCUCAACUUCAUCAGAGCUGUCUGUAAUCAGUUUAUCAACAUCGCUUUCUGUCUUUUCCACCCUCGUAAACCACCCUUGCACUUUGUCCAGCCGUUCCCUUUGUGGUAGUUGUUCCUCUUUUUUAACUCUCCGAAACACAUCGUUCCUUGCAUCACUCAAUAUUUACAAUUCAGUAAGUAAGGUAUCAAGAUUUUUUUUGAGUUCACGUUUAUACUAUAAUUUUUUAGAAACAUAAUCUAUACAAUUUAAUAAAGGGGCAAGAAUUGUGUCAUCAGCUGGUUGUGGGAUUGAAUUGCAGUUAGCCAUAGUGGAUAAGAUUUCUAAUAUAUAGGAGAGGGAGUAGAGAGUGACGAGUUACAGGCAGUUGAAAGAUUCAAAGGAAGAAGCACUAGAGAGAAGUAGAAGAUGAAGAGCAUGUAAGGGAAAGGACAAAGCUUCUCAGGUCUUGAGAGGAAGCCUUGACAAACUGCCAUGGUGGUGGAUCACAUAGCUACCAUGAGGACUAAAGUUAAUUUGAGACUGUAAUUUAUCUUUUAAUCACUUAUAAGUUUAAAAAUAAUCAACUUUGAAUAAAAUCCAAGAAGUGUUUAUUUUAUUUAAUUUCAA